Molecule: ribosomal RNA, 399 nt
Filed under: uncultured bacterium
Lineage: Bacteria
Description: bacterial SSU rRNA
Rfam family: Bacterial small subunit ribosomal RNA
Source: RNAcentral
AUAUUGCACAAUGGACGCAAGUCUGAUGCAGCAACGCCGCGUGGAGGAUGAAGGUCUUUGGAUUGUAAACUCCUUUUUUCAGGGAAGAGUGAGGACGGUACCUGAAGAAUAAGUCACGGCUAACUACGUGCCAGCAGCCGCGGUAAUACGUAGGUGGCAAGCGUUAUCCGGAAUUACUGGGCGUAAAGGGCGCGUAGGCGGAUAUUUAAGUCAGGGGUGAAAGCCCGGGGCUCAACCUCGGAAUUGCCUUUGAUACUGGAUAUCUUGAGUUCGGGAGAGGUGAGUGGAAUGCCGAGUGUAGAGGUGAAAUUCGUAGAUAUUCGGCGGAACACCAGUGGCGAAGGCGACUCACUGGCCCGAUACUGACGCUGAGGCGCGAAAGCGUGGGGAGCAAACAGG